This 58-nucleotide microRNA precursor is filed under the name Dasypus novemcinctus (nine-banded armadillo). Its description in RNAcentral is "microRNA dno-mir-122 precursor". Its record names the gene dno-mir-122. Lineage: Eukaryota; Metazoa; Chordata; Mammalia; Cingulata; Dasypodidae. The record is from miRBase by way of RNAcentral.
UGGAGUGUGACAAUGGUGUUUGUGUCCACAAUAUCAAACGCCAUUAUCACACUAAAUA